This 440-nucleotide ribosomal RNA is filed under the name uncultured bacterium. Its description in RNAcentral is "partial 16S ribosomal RNA". It matches the Rfam family "Bacterial small subunit ribosomal RNA", at positions 338 to 795 of the family's 1533-position model. The record is from RNAcentral.
CCUACGGGUGGCAGCAGUGGGGAAUAUUGCACAAUGGGGGGAACCCUGAUGCAGCAACGCCGCGUGGGUGAAGAAGUACUUCGGUAUGUAAAGCCCUGUCAGCAGGGAAGAAAAUGACGGUACCUGACCAAGAAGCCCCGGCUAACUACGUGCCAGCAGCCGCGGUAAUACGUAGGGGGCAAGCGUUAUCCGGAUUUACUGGGGGUAAAGGGAGCGUAGACGGCAAGGCAAGUCUGGAGUGAAAGCCCGGGGCUCAACCACGGGACUGCUUUGGAAACUGUGUGGCUGGAGUGCAGGAGGGGUAAGCGGAAUUCCUAGUGUAGCGGUGAAAUGCGUAGAUAUUAGGAGGAACACCGGUGGCGAAGGCGGCUUACUGGACUGUAACUGACGUUGAGGCUCGAAGGCGUGGGGAGCAAACAGGAUUAGAUACCCCGGUAGUC